GUCGUGGCAGUUCGGUAGGAUGGACAUUCAUUUUGUCACAAGAAAAGGUCUUGGGAACGUCAGCAUCAUGCGUAUUUUGUACUGCAAUAUCUGGAGCAUCGGGGGCAGUACUGGCCAAUGCGGUGAACAACUAUGUUGAGCGUAGCAGCGAAUGCCGUAGUGUGCGAGAGGCAGCGUUCCUUUGUUCUCCGCCUUCAAGUUUCACAGGUGCUCGUGAUAUCUUGAUCUGGGAGUGGUGAAAGCAGCGGUGACCUAUUCUAUGAGCAGUCUGAUAGUAGAGAUAAGAUUGGCUGCAAAGGAAAUGAGUUGCCUUUCCACAUCUGACUGCGCUGCUCUCCAAGGUUCCUUGUUUUUUGUGUAACAGCUAAUCUGGUUGUUGAGUCAGCUAGUGUCGCCAUUUGUUGUUUUGUAUGAACUAAUAGCUUCUGUUACAGUUGUCAGAGAGCUUGAACUGCAUGUGAUUUCGUCACACCGAUAGCAUGUCAUGCAUGUGUAAAGGACCUGGUGUCUCUCUACAACAAUGAAGAGCGGGGCAUAAACCAGAAGACGAAAACAUCGCUUGGACAUGCCAGUGAUUAGGCUGCUUCCGCAUCACACCAUCUAUACUCCGAAAGUUACUGCGAGAUGACCGUUGCGAAGAGGCGUAGCGACCAUCCAUGCGAUUAUUA
Molecule: long non-coding RNA, 668 nt
Organism: Ornithodoros turicata
Lineage: Eukaryota; Metazoa; Arthropoda; Arachnida; Ixodida; Argasidae
Exons: 3
Source: RefSeq, a predicted model, not a curated record